Oncorhynchus keta (chum salmon) is the source of this 3311-nucleotide long non-coding RNA. RefSeq lists it as uncharacterized. The transcript has 2 exons. The record is from RefSeq and is a predicted model, not a curated record. NCBI's taxonomy places the organism in Eukaryota, Metazoa, Chordata, Actinopteri, Salmoniformes, Salmonidae.
GAGGAGCAAUGAUACCAUAUUACAGGUAAUAGAGGAGCAGUGGUACCAUAUUACAGGUAAUAGAGGAGCAGUGAUAGUAUUAGAGAUAGUAGAGGAGCAGUGAUACCGUAUUACAGGUAAUAGAAGAGCAGUGAUACCAUAUUACAGGUAAUAGAGGAGCAGUGGUACCAUAUUACAGGUAAUAGAGGAGCAGUGAUAGUAUUAGAGAUAGUAGAGGAGCAGUGAUACCGUAUUACAGGUAAUAGAAGAGCAGUGAUACCAUAUUACAGGUAAUAGAGGAGCAGUGAUAGUAUUACAGGUAAUAGAAGAGCAGUGAUACCAUAUUACAGGUAAUAGAGGAGCAGUGGUACCAUAUUACAGGUAAUAGAGGAGCAGUGGUACCAUAUUACAGGUAAUAGAGGAGCAGUGAUAGUAUUACAGGUAUUAGAAGAGCAGUGAUACCGUAUUACAGGUAUUAGAGGACCAGUGAUAGUAUUAGAGAUAGUAGAGGAGUAGUGCUGUACGGUAUCUAUUUCAGCUAACAGAGGAGCAGUGCUACCAUAUUACAGGUAAUAGAGGAGCAGUGCUACCAUAUUACAGGUAAUAGAGGACCAGUGAUACCGUAUUACAGGUAAUAGAGGAGCAGUGAUACCAUAUUACAGGUAAUAGAGGAGCAGUGAUACCAUAUUACAGGUAAUAAGAGGACCAGUGAUACCGUAUCACAGGUAAUAGAGGAGCAGUGAUAGUAUUACAGGUAAUAGAAGAGCAGUGAUAGUAUUACAGGUAAUAGAAGAGCAGUGAUACCAUAUUACAGGUAAUAGAGGAGCAGUGGUACCAUAUUACAGGUAAUAGAGGAGCAGUGAUAGUAUUAGAGAUAGUAGAGGAGCAGUGAUACCGUAUUACAGGUAAUAGAAGAGCAGUGAUACCAUAUUACAGGUAAUAGAGGAGCAGUGCUACCAUAUUACAGGUAAUAGAGGACCAGUGAUACCGUAUUACAGGUAAUAGAGGAGCAGUGAUAGUAUUACAGGUAAUAGAGGAGCAGUGAUAGUAUUACAGGUAAUAGAAGAGCAGUGAUAGUAUUACAGGUAAUAGAAGAGCAGUGCUACCAUAUUACAGGUAAUAGAGGAGCAGUGAUAGUAUUACAGGUAAUAGAAGAGCAGUGAUACAGUAUUACAGGUAAUAGAAGAGCAGUGAUACCAUAUUACAGGUAAUAGAAGAGCAGUGAUACAGUAUUACAGGUAAUAGAAGAGCAGUGAUACCAUAUUACAGGUAAUAGAGGAGCAGUGAUAGUAUUACAGGUAAUAGAAGAGCAGUGAUACCAUAUUACAGGUAAUAGAGGAGCAGUGGUACCAUAUUACAGGUAAUAGAGGAGCAGUGGUACCAUAUUACAGGUAAUAGAGGAGCAGUGAUAGUAUUACAGGUAUUAGAAGAGCAGUGAUACCGUAUUACAGGUAUUAGAGGACCAGUGAUAGUAUUAGAGAUAGUAGAGGAGUAGUGCUGUACGGUAUCUAUUUCAGCUAACAGAGGAGCAGUGCUACCAUAUUACAGGUAAUAGAGGAGCAGUGCUACCAUAUUACAGGUAAUAGAGGACCAGUGAUACCGUAUUACAGGUAAUAGAGGAGCAGUGAUACCAUAUUACAGGUAAUAGAGGAGCAGUGAUACCAUAUUACAGGUAAUAAGAGGACCAGUGAUACCGUAUCACAGGUAAUAGAGGAGCAGUGAUAGUAUUACAGGUAAUAGAAGAGCAGUGAUAGUAUUACAGGUAAUAGAAGAGCAGUGAUACCAUAUUACAGGUAAUAGAGGAGCAGUGGUACCAUAUUACAGGUAAUAGAGGAGCAGUGAUAGUAUUAGAGAUAGUAGAGGAGCAGUGAUACCGUAUUACAGGUAAUAGAAGAGCAGUGAUACCAUAUUACAGGUAAUAGAGGAGCAGUGCUACCAUAUUACAGGUAAUAGAGGACCAGUGAUACCGUAUUACAGGUAAUAGAGGAGCAGUGAUAGUAUUACAGGUAAUAGAGGAGCAGUGAUAGUAUUACAGGUAAUAGAAGAGCAGUGAUAGUAUUACAGGUAAUAGAAGAGCAGUGCUACCAUAUUACAGGUAAUAGAGGAGCAGUGAUAGUAUUACAGGUAAUAGAAGAGCAGUGAUACAGUAUUACAGGUAAUAGAAGAGCAGUGAUACCAUAUUACAGGUAAUAGAGGAGCAGUGAUACCGUAUUACAGGUAUUAGAGGACCAGUGAUAGUAUUAGAGAUAGUAGAGGAGUAGUGCUGUACGGUAUGUAUUUCAGCUAACAGAGGAGCAGUGCUACCAUAUUACAGGUAAUAGAAGAGCAGUGAUACCGUAUUACCGGUAAUAGAGGAGCUAUGAUACCAUAUUACAGGUAAUAGAGGAGCUGUGAUGUACGACCUGUAAUACUGGAUCUACAGGUAACAGGUAAUAGAGGAGCAGUGCUACCAUAUUGCAGGUAAUAGAGGAGCAGCGAUAACAUAUUACAGGUAAUAGAGGAGCAGUGAUACCAUAUUACAGGUAAUAGAGGAGCUGUGAUACCAUAUUACAGGUAAUAGAGGAGCAGUGAUACCAUAUUACAGGUAAUAGAGGAGCUGUGAUACCAUAUUACAGGUAAUAGAGGAGCAGUGAUACCAUAUUACAGGUAAUAGAGAAGCAGUGCUACCAUAUUACAGGUAAUAGAGGAGCAGUGAUACCAUAUUACAGGUAAUAGAGGAGCAGUGCUACCAUAUUACAGGUAAUAGAGGAGCUGUGAUACCAUAUUAAAGGUAAUAGAGGAGCUGUGAUACCAUAUUACAGGUAAUAGAGGAGCAGUGAUAGUAUUACCGGUAAUAGAAGAGCAGUGAUACCAUAUUACAGGUAAUAGAGGAGCAGUGAUACCAUAUUACAGGUAAUAGAGGAGCAGUGAUACCAUAUUACAGGUAAUAGAGGAGCUGUGCUACCAUAUUACAGGUAAUAGAGGAGCAGUGCUACCAUAUUACAGGUAAUAGAGGAGCUGCUGCUGCAGAGUUAAUAAUUAUGAUUAUGGAGUCAAAAAUAUUCUAAAUACUUUACAGACUUUAGAAAUACAGCAACAACAGGAACAUCUGCAGUCAGAAAUCAGACUGAUGAAUAAAAUGAAAUGUUUUUGAAUCCUAAAUCGACCCUUAGCCCCUGUUUCAUAGGCCUAUGCACUCCAGUAUUCGAGUGCAGUACUGUAUAUCACUCUAUUCUUUACAUAGUGCACUACUUUUGGCCUGAACUCUGGAUUAGGGACUUCUACAGGGAUCCGUCUUGUGUUCUGUUGAUGUUUCUGUUGGCUAGAAGAAUAAAGACACACAUGUUUCUGGG